GAGACAGUAAGGAAUUUAUAAGAAAUGGAUACUCUCUUCUUAAGCUGAUGAGAAAAAUAACACAAAACAUAAGUAAGUGAGGUAAUAGAAGACCAAAUACUAAAAUGAGUAGCUCAUAACUCUAAAUGAUACAGAAGUAUGUAAGAAGAACCAGUCAGCAGAUAUUGAAACUGAAUGAAAAGGAUAUGUGGAAUGAGCAGAAAAUUGAUUGAUCCUUAAAGUAUCAAGUAGCAGAGACAGGUUGACUCAGGAAAAUGGAGCAUCAUGAACAAAAGAUUGCAGAUGGAAAUUUAAAGGUGUGGUUAGCGAGACACACAUUCCAGGGCUGAAAACCCAUGCUAGGAAGUAAGGAGGAAUACAAUUAUACAUGGAGAAAAGGGCAUAUUAAGGAAAGCCUUAAAUUGUGUUUAAGUAUGAAAUACAUAUAAUUGAUACAGAAUUAUUGGACAAUUUUCGGAGGAGGAAGAGGUGACAAUAAAGUUUUCUGUUUGGCCAGGCAUGGUGGCUCACGCCUGUAAUCACAGCACUUUGGGAGGCUGAGGUGGGUGGAUCACGUGGUCAGGAGUUCGAGACCAGCUUGGUCAAUAUGGUGAAACCCCGUCUCUACUAAAAGUACAAAAAUUAGCUGGCUGUGGUGGCACAUGCCUGUAGUCCCAGCUACUCGGGAGGCUGAGGCAGAAGAAUCGCUUGAGCCCGGGAGGCGGAGGUUGAAGUAGCCCAGAUCGUGCCACCGCACUCCACCCUGGGCAACAGAGUGAGACUCCAUCUCCAAAAAAAAAAAAAAAGUUUUCUGUUUAAGGAAAAGUAAUCUCAUAGCAAAAUAGGAGAUGGAGAAAUAAGUAAUCAGAGAAGAUAGAGAAAUCAAUUCAGGGUUCAGUUCUGCCAAAAUAGGGACAACAGCCAUGAGCUUGAAAGGAAAAUCGAUAAACCAGGCAUGUUCUGAGAGAGAAAAUGAGAAGGUUUAGUGACAUUAUGUAUAAAGAUGCAGAAGAUGUGAUAGGAAAAAAUAAUCUGUAGACUUCAAGAGUAAAGAUCAUUGAUUAUCAGUGAUACUUUACAUGUUUAGGAAUAUAAGCAAAUUUAGACAUACACAUUGGCCAGAUUACACUUACUUGCUAGAUGCAUUUCUAAGCCCCGCAUUUUAAUAAAAACAAUGUUGAGUCAAAUAUUUCAGAAUCAGAGAAAAAUGGAAAGAAAAUUGCAUUAGGCAGGUGUUGUGGGUUGAAUUGUGUUCCCUAAAAUUUACGUGUGGAAGCGCUAAUUCUCAGUACUUCAGAAUGUGAUUGCAUUUGGAGAUAGUGCCCUUAAAGAGGUAAUUGAGUUAAAUGAGGCCAUUAAGGUGGGCCCUAAUCCAAACUGACUGGUGACCUUAUUAAAAAGAGAUUUGGACACUUGGUGACAACAGGUAUAUAUAUUCACAGAGAAAGGAUUAUUUGAGGACACCAAGAGGUGACCAUCAGCAAGCCCAGGAGAGAGGCCUCAGAAGAAACCAGACCUGCUGAUUCCUUGAUCUUGAACUUCUAGCCUCCGGAACUAUCCAACUUGAAUGCUUCCUGAUUAAAUAUAUACAGGAGUGAUUUCAGAGGAAUUUAAGUUUUGGAUCAUUCUUUUGAGAAAGAAAGAAAAGUACCCUUUUAAAAGAGGUUCAACAAAGCCAUUAAGACUAACCGUUUUUGCUGGAGCUGCAAGAUUUUCCAUUUCUUCAUGAGUCACCCAAACGUUGCCUGAAGGCUAGUGAGGAGGCCCAGAGGGAAGCAGAGGAAUCCAUGGGAGGCAAGCAGUGGUAAAGAAGAAAGGCAGCACCUCUGUGAGUUAACAGCAACACAGCAAUACCACAGUGCCCUUGCCCCUACCGUGUGCAUGAAAGAGACAGCAUGGCUGGUUUGCUCAGAGCUCCCUGUUUCUUCUACUCAAAAAGAUUAACUAGAAAGAGGCAUUCUGUGAAGCUCUUGGGGAUGUAGAUUUAAAAUGACAUUUCUGCAAUUAUUAAUCAGAAAAAGAGCAUCAUCAAAAUUUGCAUUUCAAUGGUAUGUGGCUAUCAGAUCAAUUUUUGUAAUAACGGUGAACUGAUUAAAUUUGAACUGUAGAAUAAUGUAAUUUUAAUUUUUUACUCAGAAAACAAUGGCACAUGCACUUUGUUGUGUUAUUAUCAAAAUUUCCUUCACAUAAUUUUGAUUCUCGAUAUCCUUUGAAGGAAAAAAAAUGGUUGUCAAUAUAAAGCGGGAAGCAUUAUCGUAACUUAUCUGGAAACCAGCAUCAGCUUUUCCCAAAAGAUUCCUUUUACUGUGUGUGAUUCAGUAAAUAGUAAGUGUCCCUGAAUUCUUGCAGCUGAGAAAGAAGUGAAAUGCUAUUUUUAAUUUAAUAAAAUGUAUUUUUUAGCCACACUAAUAACUGUCAAAUUAUAAAAUCCAUAUAUUUCCUAAUUCUCCACCAGUAUCUGAUACCAUUAUAGAGAAGAACAUAGUGUAAAAUAAUUUUUUUUCUCUAGCAGGCAAUAUUCUAUUAUAAAGUCCCAUUUGCUUUCUAAAUAAAACACCCCUUGGUAUUAGUUCUAUACACUUAAUAACGUACAGUUUCGAAACCAAAGUCCACUUAGUAACAUACAGAUCAGGCAUAUCAUUGAAGGUAUUGGCCCCUGGAAACCACUUGCCAUCAAAUUCCAUCAUUUCUUUAUGAACAUUGCAAGGUUUUCCAAGCACAUCAAUGAAAUUUACAUCCUAUAUAUUAUCUGCUACUUGUUUU
This 2742-nucleotide long non-coding RNA is filed under the name Homo sapiens (human). RNAcentral's name for it is "HSALNT0192118". The record is from RNAcentral. Lineage: Eukaryota; Metazoa; Chordata; Mammalia; Primates; Hominidae.